AUUCAUCAUAUCUGCACUAUCUACUUUCCAUAGGAUUUGAAUACGUGAUAGUCCACAAUUAGGAAUUGCUCACUGCAGAAAAACCACAAUACUGAAAGUUCAAGGUACUCUUGCUUUCAGAAUCAGUUCCUUUGAGACUAACAACCCAUUCAAAGAAAAAUAAAUUACCUCUCUGUCUAGAAAAUUGUUCAUCGUCCGAAUUUCUCCAGUGUUUCUGUUGAUAAUAAACAUUGGUGAAUCAGAAGGUUCCUGUCUUAUGAUCUUGAAGGCGAUUUUUGAGUUCAAAUUAUUUGGUUCAUCUGCAUCAGUAGCAUUGAGUCUCAUCACCAGUGUGUCUAGAAAUCAAAGAAAAUUGAUUGCCAAUGGACAGUUUGCUUUUUCGUUAUAGUAUAGUAUAAUGCUUUUCCAACAAGGUGUUAGGGUUAGUUGGUCCAUAUAAUGUGCACUCUACUAUUUUCCCUUUCUACUUCUUCAACAUAUCAAUAUCUUAGCUCCUUUCUAUACCUUUGCCUUGACAAAAAGAUUACAUUUUACUUGGAACCUAGACAUUACUGAUAGUUGGAAAACAGAGAAAUGUUUUAUUCUGGCUUUCCAUUUCUUAUUCUAGUAUAAUUUUUUUUUUUAAGGCUGCUGUGGUGAAACAAAUGAUAUUAAACACAAUGAUUAAGACCAACUCUUUUCCAACUUUAGCACUUUCCAGCUAUAUGAUCUUGGCCUCAGUUUCCACUUCUAUAAAUGGGGAUGAUAAUAGUACCAUCCUCAUUGAAUUAGUAGCAAACUAAAUAGUGUAAUCAGAGAAAAUUAUAUGAAGUUCCUAUUGAAUAAUGGACAUUCAAUAAAUAUAUAUUAUUGUUCUGUUUUGCUUGGUUCCUAGUGAAGUGCUAGGUAACUAGUAGAUUUAAAGAGAUGCUUGCUUAACUACAUGCUUUGUCCUAUUCCUCAUCUUUUCCCUUAAUCUUUUAAGCAGUUUUGAUGAAGGACACUGGAGAAUGUGGAAACCUGCCAGUGUUCAUCAACUAGAAUUCUUCUCUAUACUCGAACUCGUUCAAGCACAGUUGUUCUGUCUAUAGAAACAAAUUCACCAGAGUAUCUCCCAUCUCUCUCUCUCUCUCUCUCUCUCUGUCUGUGUGUGUAUUCAUUUCAGUAUGAUUUUUUAAAUGUUUUCACUAGGCACUUCAUUAAUUAAUUUUGGUAUGUUCAUUCAGUGAAAUCUGAUGCAACCGUUAGAAGGAAUGAAGACGUCUAUAUUUCCUAGUGAGGAAAUAUGUCCAAAAUAUAUUUAAAUAAAGAUUCACGUUAUGGAUUAGUAUGUAAAAUAUGGUUCCAUUUGUUUCCAAAAACAUGUUUAUAUAUCUUUAUAUAAUUGUAGAAUAUAUGUGCCUAAGUCGCUAAUGACAGUGUUUGCUCUGAAGAAUGGUACUAGAGAAAACAAGGAACGGAUUUCUAUUCCAUUUUUACUUUCCAUAUUGUGUGAAUUUUUACAACAAACACUUUUAGAAUGGUAUUUUUAAAAGUUUAAAGUAUAGUUAUACUAUUUUAAUGAAGAGCAGUAAAAUGUAAGGAGUUUUUGAAUUUGUAAGAAAUUAUACCACUUAAAGUUUAAAAGUAACUAUGCGAAGUUGAUGUUUUGAAUUCAUAUGAGAAAUCAUCUCUGCUGUUUUUACUAUAUUUAGGAUAAUCUUCAAUGGUGUGCUAAGCAGUUAAUAUUCUGUGCCUCCCAAGUGACUGAAUAUUUGGCGGUUAAAACGUUGCCAUUUACAGUAAUCCAUAAGGAGACCAUUGCACCUGUAGGUUGUCAAAUCUAUUGCAGGCAAAUGCUCUCUCUAGUUUAUAGGUUUUCUGGUACCACUCAACUAGCACCACUUGAGACAAUCAGCUUUAAAUAUGCAUGGUAGGCCAAACAGGAUUAGGUUUAUAAUGCAUUUCAAAUACAUAAAAUCAGUGACUUGAGUAAAAAGCAAACAAAACCUAUAUUUAGUAAAUCAUAUAUAAGAAGGGGAAGCAAUUCUUAUUUUGCAUUUAUUUGCUGUCAAUGAAAGCUCUUAAAGAUUAUGGCCACAAAACAGAUUGACUGAAGUGAUUUUUACCAGUGACUUUAAAAUAGUUAAUAUUAAAAAAAAAUAAAUAAAGCAGUAUGAACAGAAGUGGAUGAGAUUGCCCUUCAGAGCAGUCAUGCUGGGAGGCUAAAUUCUCCUCCCAGGGCCCCUGCCACCUCUGUGCAAAGCACUUGUGGAAUUUCUCCUUAGGAAUCUACUCCAGAGCCGGUGUAUGAGUUACAUAAGAAAAUCCUGCUUGUUAUAUUGGACUUGCUCCUUGUGUGUGAGGGAUUAGCGCUGCUCCCACUGUUGAAGGGAAAGUCAUUAUGGAGACUUCCUCAUGCCUUUCUAUUCUGUGUGCUUUUCUAUACUCAUCUCUUACGUUUGUGAUGUAGUACCUUGAGAUAGUUUAGCCUCUAGUUACCUGGCUGUUAAGAGUGAUCUGGAAGCCAAUAUAUUCUUGUUUACUUAAUAAAAUAAAUUACUUACUUGCA
Long non-coding RNA from Diceros bicornis minor, 2530 nucleotides. RefSeq lists it as uncharacterized. The record is from RefSeq and is a predicted model, not a curated record. The transcript is spliced from 2 exons. NCBI's taxonomy places the organism in Eukaryota, Metazoa, Chordata, Mammalia, Perissodactyla, Rhinocerotidae.